Non-coding RNA from Phascolarctos cinereus (koala), 1198 nucleotides. NCBI's taxonomy places the organism in Eukaryota, Metazoa, Chordata, Mammalia, Diprotodontia, Phascolarctidae. The record is from RefSeq and is a predicted model, not a curated record.
UCUGCUGCUUCUUCCCCGGGGGAUCCUGGCCAAGGCCCCUUUCUAGUCCGAUUAUUUCCUGAUCGAUAAAAUCGGAGAGGACUGGGGAGACUACUGGGAGAAGACAAUCUGUAACCAAGCUGGAGGGGUGGAGAAGGUGGCCAAACUCCCUCUUACAAUCAUCACUUGGACAUGAUGAGGAAACUGAGGUUCAGAGAAGUCCCUUGUCUGACUCUGGAUCACAUAGAGAGAGUUGGGAGAUACCUAAGAGAUGAUGUGAUCCAACCCUUCCCUGAUUUUACAGAUGAGGAAACUGAGGCCCAGGAAAGCUAGAAACUGAGGAGCUUGGGACAAUCUGGACGGAUUUGGGUCCCUACUUCUGACUGUCCAGCUCUGGGUGACGCCGGGCAGGUUUCUGGGGCUGAGCUCUUAUCACUGAGACUUGGCUGGCAUCUGAAUUCUUUGUCUUCAUAUACCUGGCAAGCUUCCAGAUGCCCCCAAAUACCCAGAGUACAACUGCAAUCAAUCGCUCCCCUUUCCAGCCUCCCCUGCAACAGAAAGAGGUCUCGUGCCCAAGGCCGGCCCUGCUGGGCCCCACUCUCCAGACACGGUGCCCUCCCGGCUCCUGAGCUCUUGCUUCGGCCUGGAAUAGCCUUCUUCCUCCUACUCCCCAUUUUUCAGAGCCUUGUUCAAGCUCUGCUUCCCCUAGGAAGCCUUCCCUGACUAUUCUCCCAGUCCUCAUGUGUCUCAUUUCCCUCCAUACUCUCUGGCCAUCUCCUCCUUAUCCACCAUCUUGCCACUUUGGGGAAGCUUUUGCCCUGGGUCCCAUCAUGCUUUCCUGAUUGGUGAUGGCCUUGCCUACCUAGGCUACUAUUAUAUUAAGCCUUAUGGCCCUGCUAUCCAGCUCUCUCCUUGCCGACUGCCUCCCUGAGAACUGAGAGCCCUCCUAGCCCUGACAUUCCCUGUUCUAAGGCCCCUCCCUGCUCUGACACUCCAUGUCCUAAGGCCCCUCCUACCUCUGACAUUUCCUGUUCUAAGGCCCUUCCCCAUCUGGUAUCCUGUGAGUUCUAGAGCGGGAAGACAGGUGAAGAUGAAGAUGGCCAAGGUGACAGGUUCCCCUUCCAGUUCUAAGAUUUUUCUGGAAGCCAGGAGCUGCCCAGAAGCCCCUCUGGAGGAGUGCCUUGGUCUCCAAGACUGCCUGUCACCUCCUGUAGUCCCA